GUUGGAGAGGAGAUAGAGUAAUGGAGGAUUUGAGGUUACCUAAAAAGCGAAGAAAACUGGACCAGCAGCCAAGCAUACGCGUUUUUUAUCAGACAGCAGCACAGAGAGACAAGGAGAGGGACAGGCACGCUGAACUCACCAAAACAAAGUGGACGGGCAGUUACUGCAAUGCACUAAACAAAAACAAUAUAUAGGGAAAGAAAGGCAUUUGCACCUCCCCCGAUGUCUAAACCAUGGUUACACCCUUGGUUAGAAGCCUGGAUUAGGCCUAAUCCUGGGCUCUAAAUGGAUGCCAUCAUCUGAAAGCAAAGUCUCCGUAGUUCGUAGUUCUGUCUGGACCCUGAUCCUCACUCCUGCCUGGCCAAGUGGACACCUUCCGCUUCUAUCACCAUUAAUAUUCCUAUUUCUAUUGCUGUAAACAUAAAUGCCCAGCACUAACUUUGUUUCUCCUAGAAUAUUUGUGCUUUCUCGCC
This is a long non-coding RNA of Gasterosteus aculeatus aculeatus (three-spined stickleback), 473 nucleotides long. Lineage: Eukaryota; Metazoa; Chordata; Actinopteri; Perciformes; Gasterosteidae. The record is from Ensembl.